CCCUUAGAUGUUCUGGGCCGCACGCGCGCUACACUGAAGGGAUCAGCGUGUUUUCCCUUCCCGAGAGGGACGGGUAACCCGCUGAACCCCCUUCGUGGUAGGGAUCGGAGCUUGCAAUUGUUCUCCGUGAACCAGGAAUUCCCAGUAAGCGCAAGUCAUAAGCUUGCGUUGAAUACGUCCCUGCCCUUUGUACACACCGCCCGUCGCUCCUACCGAUUGAGUGGUCCGGUGAGGCUUUGGGAUCUGAGCGGAAAGAGCGUUUCGCUGUUUCUGCUCGGAAAACUCAGUCGAACCUUAUCAUUUAGAGGAAGGAGAAGUCGUAACA
RNAcentral lists this ribosomal RNA (325 nucleotides) under uncultured eukaryote. Its description in RNAcentral is "partial 18S ribosomal RNA". It matches the Rfam family "Eukaryotic small subunit ribosomal RNA", at positions 1470 to 1796 of the family's 1831-position model. The record is from RNAcentral.